UACGGAGGGUGCAAGCAUUGAUCGGAAUUACUGGGCGUAAAGGGCGCGUAGGCGGCUUGAAAAGUCAGAUGUGAAAUUCCGGGGCUCAACCCCGGAGCUGCAUUUGAAACUCUCGAGCUAGAGUACAGUUAGGGUCAACGGAAUUCCACGUGUAGCGGUGAAAUGCGUAGAUAUGUGGAAGAACACCGGUGGUGAAGACGGUUGACUGGGCUGAAACUGACGCUGAGGCGCGAAAGCUAGGGGAGCAAACAGG
RNAcentral lists this ribosomal RNA (253 nucleotides) under uncultured bacterium. RNAcentral's name for it is "partial 16S ribosomal RNA". It matches the Rfam family "Bacterial small subunit ribosomal RNA", at positions 524 to 776 of the family's 1533-position model. The record is from RNAcentral.